Non-coding RNA from Pelobates cultripes (western spadefoot toad), 431 nucleotides. The record is from the annotation of a GenBank genome assembly. NCBI's taxonomy places the organism in Eukaryota, Metazoa, Chordata, Amphibia, Anura, Pelobatidae.
AUUAAAUCUUGCCUUUAGUGCAUCCAAUGUCCCAAAUAUACAUCAAGCGAUAAACUGGAGCACUCAAUAAAUUUGAGUGCUCCAGUUUAUCGCUUGAGAUAUAUAUAUAUAUAUACAUAUAUAUAUUUAUUUUUUAAUUUUUUUUAAUUGAGGUAGCCCCCAAAAUAUUGGGACAUAUAAAAAAAAGACAACUCUGUUCCGCAGAGUAGCUGUUGACAUUAUAGUUGCGCAGGCACUUUGUUGACUCUAGAGAACCUCGGGCCAAUCGCACAUCCCCAUGGCGACGACUUUGCAUGCAGAUGUCAUCCAUAUCAACUUUCGAUGCCAGUUUCUGCGCCUACCAUGGUGACCACGGGAAAUGGGGAGUCAGAGUUCCAUUCCGUACAGGGACCCUGAGAAACGGCUACCACAUGCAAGGAAGGCAGCAGGCA